Corticium candelabrum is the source of this 846-nucleotide long non-coding RNA. RefSeq lists it as uncharacterized. NCBI's taxonomy places the organism in Eukaryota, Metazoa, Porifera, Homoscleromorpha, Homosclerophorida, Plakinidae. The transcript has 4 exons. The record is from RefSeq and is a predicted model, not a curated record.
CAGAAUUUACAAUUUUACAACAGAAAAUAAUUAGCAAACAACUAUUAUACAAGUGGAUGCACAUUUCUGUUUGAAUGUUUUUUACAAAUUUAAUUUAUUGGUUUUACUGUAUGUGGUUGUAUUAUAGAAAUUCUCUUGUGGAAGUGGUGGAGGAGGCAACGACAUCACAAUCUCAUUGACUACAUCCAGUUAAGCAACAUAGUUAUAUGAACUAGUGCAAUACAAUAUGAACGUCUAUUUGUGAUAACUAGCUGUCUCUUGUGUAUUUAGUCAGAUCACCUGCUACCGUUUCUAUGCCAUCAACGAGACAACCUGCCAUCUUUGUUGAAGCAAUUGAAGAAAAUGCAGAAAAGCCGCCAGACCGAACAGUCACCCAAACGUCUGUCACAAGCAAUACAAUCUAUAAGCUCUGACAUUCCUGCAUGGAAUGACUGCAGAAUCCAAGCAAAGAAACAAAAUUCAACAGGAAGAGAUGUGCCUGAUUGGGUGAAGAAAUUUCAAAUGGAACAUUCAGUUGUACGUGGUUUAUGAAGAUGGAGUGAGAUAGAAAGAUAAAGUCGGAUAGAAAGCUCUUCAUGUUCUCCGUAUAUCAGUAGGAAUAAUAGUGACACAUCAAAUGGUCUUCCUCUCCUGACAUUGCGGUCACGUGAUGUUUACUCUACAGGUCACGUGAUGUUUGUAACGCUACAGAUGAGAACAGACGUCUCAUGGUGUGAAGACUGAAUACUUAAUUCCAGAUACUUGUAUUUGUUUAAGAGAUGUUUUGUAUUAUGAAAUAUAGAGUAGAAUGUAAAUAGUAAAAAAUAUAGAGUAGAAAAAAUUGUAUAUUAAUCACGUGACUCACGU